This 494-nucleotide ribosomal RNA is filed under the name uncultured bacterium. Its description in RNAcentral is "partial 16S ribosomal RNA". It matches the Rfam family "Bacterial small subunit ribosomal RNA", at positions 28 to 507 of the family's 1533-position model. The record is from RNAcentral.
GACGAACGCUGGCGGCGUGCUUAACACAUGCAAGUCGAACGGAAAGGCCUGCUUUCCCUUGUGUAUUGCGGGUACUCGAGUGGCGAACGGGUGAGUAACACGUGAGUUAUCUGCCCCCAACUUGGGUAUAAGCCUGGGAAACUGGGUCUAAUUCCCGAUAGGACUGCAGGGUGGUGCCUGUGUUGGCAAACGAUGUUCUAGUGGUUGGGGAUGAGCUCGCGGCCUAUCAGCUGGUUGGUGGGGUAAUGGCCUACGAAGGCGGCGACGGGUAGCCGGCCUGAGAGGGUGGACGGCCACAUUGGGACUGAGAUACGGCCCAGACUCCUACGGGAGGCAGCAGUGGGGAAUAUUGGACAAUGGGCGGAAGCCUGAGGCAGCGACGCCGCGUGGGGGAUGACGGCCUUCGGGUUGUAAACUCCUUUCGACCGCGAGGAAGCCACCUGGUUGGAAGGGUGGUGACGGUAGUGGUAGAAGAAGCACCGGCUAACUACGUG